AACGAACGAUGGCGGCAGGCUUAACACAUGCAUGUCGAAUGGGUGUAGCAAUACAUCAGUGGCAGACGGGUGAGUAACAUGUGGGAACCUUCCUAGAGGGACGGAACAACUCAGGGAAACUUGAGCUAAUACCGUAUAAGCUCUUGCGAGGAAAGAUAUAUCGCCUUUAGACGGGCCCGAUUAGGAUUAGGUAGUUGGUGGGGUAAUGGCCUACCAAGCCUACGAUCCCUAGCUGAUCUGAGAGGAUGAUCAGCCACGAUGGGACUGAGACACGGCCCAGGCUCCUAAGGGUGGCAGCAGUGGGGAAGCUUGAACAAAGGGCGCAAGCCUGAUACAGCCAUGCCGCGUGAGUGAAGAAAGCCUUCGGGUUGUAAAGCUCUUUUACCAGGGACGAUAAUGCCGGUACCUGGAGAAUAAGCCCCGGCAAACUUCGUGCCAGCCGCCGCAGUAA
RNAcentral lists this ribosomal RNA (451 nucleotides) under uncultured bacterium. Its description in RNAcentral is "partial 16S ribosomal RNA". It matches the Rfam family "Bacterial small subunit ribosomal RNA", at positions 29 to 523 of the family's 1533-position model. The record is from RNAcentral.